Molecule: transfer RNA, 75 nt
Filed under: Aeromonas phage vB_AsaP_MQM1
Lineage: Duplodnaviria; Heunggongvirae; Uroviricota; Caudoviricetes
Description: tRNA-Pro
Rfam family: tRNA
About the family: Transfer RNA (tRNA) molecules are approximately 80 nucleotides in length. Their secondary structure includes four short double-helical elements and three loops (D, anti-codon, and T loops).
Source: RNAcentral
CCGUGAUUAGGCAAGUGGUAUGUCGUCUGGUUUGGGACCAGAACGUCGAAUGUUCGAUUCAUUCAUCACGGACCA